Molecule: long non-coding RNA, 2166 nt
Organism: Glossina fuscipes
Lineage: Eukaryota; Metazoa; Arthropoda; Insecta; Diptera; Glossinidae
Exons: 3
Source: RefSeq, a predicted model, not a curated record
UGUGUAAAAUUUGAAAAUUGUACAUUCAGAAAAAUUCCAUAAAAACAAAAAAAAAGUUUCGCUAAAAGUUUAAAAUGUCGAUUUUAGAAAAAGACUAAUGGGACUCCUGAAACAGAAGCUCGCAUUUUGUCAAGCAAAUAAAAUGGCGUAGGCGCGAUCGCCAGCUACGAUAGUGAUGAUAUACAGAAAUUACAUGAGUCCGAAAAAACAGAGACGUUUGAAGUAGUUCUAGAUUGCCUCUCGGCAUGAACUUAGCUAAUGAUAAAGAUGUUAGGAUGAUCCCGCCACUUCCGCCGCCGCCAACAGCUGAGGAGAAGAAAAAGCCUCAAUCGCCUGUAGUGACAAAUGAUAUCGUCCAAAAGGAGGUCAAUCAAUUUAUCGUAGAUUUCGAGGAAUCAACAGAACUGCAUCAAGCGAUUGUGCAUUUGGAGAUUAACUUGCAAACAGUGGUUUCUGGAAGCCCUCUUACAACACGAUUUGUAAGCAACCAAGAAACGCGAAAACGUAUCAAACAGUGAAGUUAAUAUUAGUUUCCUUCAUAACAAAUAUACAUAUCGCCGUACCUAUCGUAAAUCGUUGAUUUGUCUACAAAGUUUUUCUUGUAAUCGCUAUCUUUAGCUGCAGCUUUUCCUUGUUAUACUAAUUAUCUAUCUGGUUCCAUUUUUUUGCUGCCUGUCAAAUGUUUUUGGGAGAAAACGUUGAAAAAAUAGUGAAAAUUAACUAUUUUUGCAAUAUAAUCUUUGAAGUCCCAAAUCGGAAUUGACAAUAUUUAAAUAUACAGUGAAAUCAAUUGAUAUUUUAGGUUAAAGUUUUAGAUAAUAAACUUAGCAACGAAAUGGCAUUAAUGGGGCUUCCGAAAAAAUCGAAAUUUGAGGAAAUUUUCGUAGUACCGGUACAUGCAGUUAAAAUACAAAAAUUGAUCGAAAAGCAGAUGAUGGAGAAGCCCGCAGCUAUAUAGCUAUACCUCUAUACCGGAUUUUUAGUUGUGGUCCAAUAUAACGUUGGGAUACAAUUGAAUUGGUUUCGGAUGAUGACCAGGAUCGUGAAAGUUUAUUCUCGGAAAAAAAUCAUGGUAAACAAGAAAAUUCUGGUGAAGGUGAUGAUAUCAAUAACGACGAGUUUAAAGAAAAUCGCAUUCAAAACGCUAAUUCGAUUGAAUUGAAAUGGUCAUCACACGCUCAAAAUAGCGCACAUUCCAAAAGCCAAUUCAUCAGGCUCGAUUAUUAACUUUUUCAAGAAUACAAUGAAUACACAAAACAAAUCUGAUCUGCCAUAUUUAUUCGCAUCUGGCUCAAAAUCAAAUGUUAAAUAAUCGUAAAUCUCUUCAGUGCAAGAGUUGGAGUCUGAAUGGCAUCGAAACUGUACAACUCAUACUGGUCCUAACAAGGGAAACGGUAUUAAUAACGAUGCGAAAAUUUCGCAAAUUUGCUCUUUAGACAAUCUUAUCAACAAAAACCAAGCAUUAUGCAGUCAUCAACGGCGAUUCAUCAUACAUACAGCAAACGCAACUUUUUUUUUACGGCACCAGCAGCAAGCCGCCCUAUGCUUAUCGGGGAUCAACAAUGCAGUAAAUCCUUAAUUGAGACUUUAAGUGAAAGAUGUUCAACAGAAAGACCUUCAGCAGAAACAAAAAGUGUGAAUGAAAAGGAAUUUUUAUUUCUCGGCGGUGGUUACAAACUUAUUCCUUAUAAUGAGUACAGCUCUUUUUACAACAGAACAGGUUGUAACUAUGCCCCAAUGCAAGAAAAGAAAACUGCAUGUAAAAACUUCGAAGUUUAUGAUCUCCUAAAAACAAAUUGUUACUCUCAAAUAUGGCGCAAUCUAGGUAUAAUAACUCUGCAAUUUCCUUGAAUGGCGUUAUAUAUUCUCUAGGUGGAUGCGAUUCAAAUGGUACACAAUUGACUACCGCUGACAUGGAUGGAUGACGAUUAGUCCAUCGCUGCCAAUCAGUCAAAUGCGGAUGAAAGUCGAUUUCGUUGCGUGGUCUCAUAUCCGCCCAAUAGUAAUGUUGAAGUGGAAUUACAUUUGGGUGACAUUAUCUUCGUAAGACGUAAACAAAAAAAUGGCUGGUAUAUGGGCAUAAAUUCUCGUACUAAGAAAACUGGCUUGUUUCCUGCUUCCUUUGUCGAGCGGAUCUUGGUUUUCUCAACAUUUGUUGGAUAUAGA